RNAcentral lists this transfer RNA (85 nucleotides) under Taylorella asinigenitalis. RNAcentral's name for it is "tRNA-Ala". The stretch from base 10 to 82 matches the Rfam family "tRNA". From Rfam's summary of the family: Transfer RNA (tRNA) molecules are approximately 80 nucleotides in length. Lineage: Bacteria; Pseudomonadati; Pseudomonadota; Betaproteobacteria; Burkholderiales; Alcaligenaceae. The record is from RNAcentral.
GAUGAAUGUGGGGGAUUAGCUCAGUUGGGAGAGCGCCUGCUUUGCACGCAGGAGGCCGUCGGUUCGAUCCCGUCAUCCUCCACCA